GGGCCCGUAGCUCAGUGGAAGAGCAUCCGACUCAUAAUCGGCAGGUCACAGGUUCGAACCCUGUCGGGCCCACCA
Molecule: transfer RNA, 75 nt
Filed under: Chloroflexota bacterium
Lineage: Bacteria; Bacillati; Chloroflexota
Also listed under: 1 other name
Description: Chloroflexi bacterium tRNA-Ile
Rfam family: tRNA
About the family: Transfer RNA (tRNA) molecules are approximately 80 nucleotides in length. Their secondary structure includes four short double-helical elements and three loops (D, anti-codon, and T loops). Further hydrogen bonds mediate the characteristic L-shaped molecular structure. tRNAs have two regions of fundamental functional importance: the anti-codon, which is responsible for specific mRNA codon recognition, and the 3' end, to which the tRNAs corresponding amino acid is attached (by aminoacyl-tRNA synthetases). tRNAs cope with the degeneracy of the genetic code in two manners: having more than one tRNA (with a specific anti-codon) for a particular amino acid; and 'wobble' base-pairing, i.e. permitting non-standard base-pairing at the 3rd anti-codon position.
Source: RNAcentral